CUUACCGAUGGCGACCGGCGCACGGGGUGAGUAACACGUAUCCAACCUGCCGAUAACUCGGGGAUAGCCUUUCGAAAGAAAGAUUAAUAUCCGAUAGGAUAUCAAGGUCGCAUGAUCUUGAUAUUAAAGAAUUUCGGUUAUCGAUGGGGAUGCGUUCCAUUAGUUAGUUGGCGGGGUAACGGCCCACCAAGACGACGAUGGAUAGGGGUUCUGAGAGGAAGGUCCCCCACAUUGGAACUGAGACACGGUCCAAACUCCUACGGAAGGCAGCAG
Molecule: ribosomal RNA, 273 nt
Filed under: uncultured bacterium
Lineage: Bacteria
Description: partial 16S ribosomal RNA
Rfam family: Bacterial small subunit ribosomal RNA
Source: RNAcentral